CUCACCAAUCUGCCUCUCCGAGCCUGGAAGGAGCCAAGGUGGGAACCAGGAACCCCUAGAUGGUCCUCCAGGCAGGCCCUUUCCCGUCUGGGGCCUCUUCCUCGGAUCCCAGGCCUUAGAUCAUAGCACACACAGAAUAACGUGGCUGGGAGGAAGUGUGGAGGGAUUUUGUUUCCUGGAUUGGAAUGAGAAGGUCUCUAGAGCAUGAGAACUCCAAGGAUCUCAUCCACAGGCGAAAAGAAGACUGUCUUCCUUUUUUUUAUCAACAAAGCAAAAAAUUCCCCACACCCUAUCUCCCCUCCAGUCUUUCCCUUGGGCCUCAUUGGCCAACAUUGGGUCACAUGACCACUCCCAGCUAUGUAAGAGACUAGGAGAGCCGGAAAUAGGAUUUCCAGGAUUGGCACAACCUUGGCUGUAUUCGCAGAGAUUCUGACUCAGUUGGUCUGGGGUGGGGCUUGAUGUUGGUAUUUAUUAAAUGCUCCAAAACCUAGGAUUUUCUAAAAAAUUGUAAUUAUUUUUCACUACCGUAUGGUGCCAUCUGAAGUAAUCAUCUUCAACUAAGCCCACCCUAGGCUCUGAACAAGCCACCUUAUCGUAUUGACUAGGAUUCUCCAGAUUAUCCUGUAGCCCCUGCUCCCUUUGGGACUGAUUAUAUAGGUGAUGAAUUAGUACAUUUUUAGGUUGUUUGUGAAUUUGCAGUUAGUAACUGGUUAGCUAAGCAGCUGGCUAACUAAUAGAAUGCUUAGUUGGCUUUUCCUCUUGUUUAUGUGUCUGGCACAUAGUAGGUACUUGAUAAAUAUUUCUUUGGGUGGAUGAAUCCAUAAAAUGGAGAUUAAAAAUAGAGUUAAUACAGCAUCAAAUGAGAAAGUAGCUAUGGAACCAUUUUGUAAAUGAUAAGACAGUGUACAGAUAUAAGAAUAAACAUUUAUAUGAAAAGCUAUUAAUACUUUCAUGUUUAGGGCCAAGGAAAACUUUCCCCCCAUUAUUCACCAAGGAAAUAGUGUUUCCACAUUUCUGAAAUGGAGAACUACCAUUUUGCCCUGUUGGUAGUAAGCCAGAAUUUUCUCUCAAUUAGAGCAACUUCUUCAACACUUAGUGAUGGCAUAUAUUCUUUCUCCUUUUUCCUCGACCCUACUUUGCCUUUCUACUUGUAUUAUUAUUUUCUUAUUUUGGUUAUAAAUUACCUCAAGCCUUUUUGAGAAAGAGGUGGGAUAAAAUACAUUUUAAAAAUACUUGGGAACUAACCUUUAUUAUCUAC
Bubalus bubalis (water buffalo) is the source of this 1258-nucleotide long non-coding RNA. RefSeq lists it as uncharacterized. The record is from RefSeq and is a predicted model, not a curated record. The transcript is spliced from 3 exons. Lineage: Eukaryota; Metazoa; Chordata; Mammalia; Artiodactyla; Bovidae.